AUGGCAGAAAGGAACGAUACACUCACAACACCUUUCUCUGAAGAGGAGCUGAGAGCUGCAGUGUUCCAAAUGGAACAUGACAAAGCUCCAGGCUCGGAUAGCUUCCCCGCAGAAUUCUAUCAGAAUUCAUGGAAUGUCAUCAAGACUGCCCUAUUGGAGUUGUUCAAUUAUCUUCAUGUCAGCCAACUUGACCUAUCCAGGCUUAAUCUUGGUGAGAUUGUUUUGUUGCCGAAAAUUAAGGAGGAUGAGCGGAGGCUAGGGAGCUCUCAUUCCCAUCUACUUUCUGAUAGAACAACCCUCUGUAGUAUCUAUCAUUCAUCCCAUUGUAAUCCCUCGCACGAGGUAUACCCACCAUCAAUAACAACAACAAGCAAGACGCAGGGUAUUACUCCUCAAUGGAUGCCUGAACUUGGGUAA
RNAcentral lists this ribosomal RNA (417 nucleotides) under Triticum aestivum (bread wheat). RNAcentral describes it as "partial small subunit ribosomal RNA". The record is from RNAcentral. Lineage: Eukaryota; Viridiplantae; Streptophyta; Magnoliopsida; Poales; Poaceae.